GGGGCAAUGGCGUAGUUGGGAGCGCGUUUGACUGAAGUAUAAAAACUUCACCACGACAGGAUUCGGCCCAGCCAAUUCCAGUUAGUAAUCAGAAGGUCACCGGUUCGAUCCCGGUUUGCCCCA
RNAcentral lists this transfer RNA (123 nucleotides) under Paracoccidioides brasiliensis. RNAcentral's name for it is "tRNA-Phe". It matches the Rfam family "tRNA". From Rfam's summary of the family: Transfer RNA (tRNA) molecules are approximately 80 nucleotides in length. Lineage: Eukaryota; Fungi; Ascomycota; Eurotiomycetes; Onygenales; Ajellomycetaceae. The record is from RNAcentral.